Prosopis cineraria is the source of this 544-nucleotide long non-coding RNA. RefSeq lists it as uncharacterized. The transcript has 3 exons. The record is from RefSeq and is a predicted model, not a curated record. NCBI's taxonomy places the organism in Eukaryota, Viridiplantae, Streptophyta, Magnoliopsida, Fabales, Fabaceae.
UUCAUAUGAUGUCUGUAUGUUAGUUUCUGUUACAGUCCAAUCUUUGAUCGACCUUUUUUCGGAGGAAAAUGGAUGGAGGGAGGGCAUACUUCGUCAUGGGGUUCACGGUUCAGGUCGGUGGAAGGGGGAUCCGCAAGAGCUACUGUAUUGUCUUUGGCCACUCAACCUUCGUUCAGGAACAUCAUAUUCCUUCUCUGCAGUUUUGUUUUUCAUUUCAUUGAUGUCUGCUCGCUUAUGACCGUUGGGCCCUAUGUCUGGGUUGCUAUAGAUGUCUUUGGGAUGGUCGGACGAAUUCAAAAGCCAAAGGUCUUGUAGUUAGAUAAGACGGAGAGCAUUGAACUCUGCUUUUUCAUUCAGGACAUGAAGGGAAAUCACCUGCUGUGCAUUCUGAGGAGUGAAUGUGCUGACAAGGCUUGGGAUGAAUAUGUUAAGUUGAAUGUUGAAGGCCCUAUUGCCUUGCGCAUUCGGUAUGUGUGGUUGUAUGUUGGCGAAGGUUGGUAACAGUGUGAACAGCUAAUUUACUAAUUUUAAAGUUAUACCUCCA